This 30-nucleotide non-coding RNA is filed under the name Rattus norvegicus (Norway rat). The record is from RNAcentral. Lineage: Eukaryota; Metazoa; Chordata; Mammalia; Rodentia; Muridae.
UGUCAUUGUAAAAUCAGUGGAUGUGGAGGC